This 77-nucleotide transfer RNA is filed under the name Methylobacterium indicum. Its description in RNAcentral is "tRNA-Trp". It matches the Rfam family "tRNA". From Rfam's summary of the family: Transfer RNA (tRNA) molecules are approximately 80 nucleotides in length. Lineage: Bacteria; Pseudomonadati; Pseudomonadota; Alphaproteobacteria; Hyphomicrobiales; Methylobacteriaceae. The record is from RNAcentral.
AUCCGUAUAGCUCAACUGGCCAGAGCACCGGUCUCCAAAACCGGGGGUUGGGGGUUCGAAUCCCUCUGCGGAUGCCA